UUGGCGGCCUUAAACCUUUCAGAGGAACUCGCAUCUUCAUCCGAUAAUCCCCGUUAAUUCUCUCUUUAAUUAAGUAUUUAUAUCGCCGUCUCAAGACAAAAAUUUCAAUUUUAAUCUUCUAAGACCCACCUACUACGUCAGGUCGAGAUAAAGCUCACAUUAAAGCGAGCCGAGUUACAAAUUUUAUUCAAUUACACUUUUUCACUUAAAAAUGAUAAAAUUCAGAAUUUGAAAGUAAUCAAAAAGUAAUUUUUUUUCAUGAACACUUCAAAAAGGCGUACAUAUCGCCCGUCACCCUCGUCCAAAGAUGAGGCAAGUCGUAACAAAGUUAAUAUACUGGAAAGUGUAUUAAGGG
This 355-nucleotide ribosomal RNA is filed under the name Xenesthis immanis. RNAcentral describes it as "partial 12S ribosomal RNA". The record is from RNAcentral. Lineage: Eukaryota; Metazoa; Arthropoda; Arachnida; Araneae; Theraphosidae.